Molecule: long non-coding RNA, 5596 nt
Organism: Eptatretus burgeri (inshore hagfish)
Lineage: Eukaryota; Metazoa; Chordata; Myxini; Myxiniformes; Myxinidae
Source: Ensembl
CCUGUGGUCCUGUAGGUGAUGUGAAUGAAAAGUCUGAAGUUUCACUUCCCUUUGACUGUUCUGAUCACGGAUCGCCGCCUUUGGAGAGGAGUCAUGGAUUUCUCGAUGGCAUUCAAGAUCCACUUUCUCGGAUUUUUCUGUUUCUUGGCGGUGUCUUUUUGGUUCUGCGAUAAUUUCCUUUGUUGGGUUUUCAUGUUCGUUGUUGUUUUCGCCGUAGUUCAAUCUUACUGUUACUGCUUUCUGGAUUUUCAGAUUUUCUCUGUUCUUUCCGUGUUCCGACGAAACUUCACCGCUCAAGUCCCUUUGGAGUACUUUGUUUAUGGAAAAACCUUUGGUGCGGAGCAGAUGUUCCUAAGUGAUCUUCGCAAGUGUUCGGUGAAUAUGUUGCCUCGGCCUGUACAGGAGGAAAGUGUUUCUUCUCUGCCACUCUUGGUCUUCUGUGUGAACGCGACACGAGUUGGAACCGACACCACAGCUGCACUCGCAAAGUGUGAGAUGGUUUGUGGAAGAAGAUCGGUCAUCAUGGUGGUGAUGAAUCAUGUUCCGAGUUGUGCCACGUACAAGAACCCUCAUAGCUACGCAAAUGUCCAACAACAGAACGUAUUGGCCACAUAUGACUGUUUCUUCUCUGAAAGGAAAGGAUUGCACAGGUGUGAAGAGAACAACAAGGUGGUGAGCCAAGUGAGGGAUUUAAUCAAAGGGUGAGCUCAACUUAAGACACUGGAUCCUAUGAAUGGAACAGUAGGACAGUAGUUUUGGGUACAGUAGGAGGAGAUGCAAAUGUACUGGGUAACAAUGGCUGUAAUGUUAGCUAUGAAACACAAUUAUGGCUUUUGUUCAUUACACUUAGAAAGCGAUUGAGUACUUAAGUUGAAUUUUUGCUGCUUAUUUGCUUGUACUGAAAAUAAAGGUUUGCUUUGCCGGUGAUCUCUGAUUUUGUGUGAUCAAAUCGGUAAACUGUAGGAAUAUGUCCCUACAGUUUAUGAAAUCACGAUAUUUCAAAGCAAAUGGUUCACAAUCCAGCUGCACCGCCUAUCAUGUCAAAACAUUGUUUUUGAGACUUCCUGCUUGCCUGAACUCCUACUUUUUUGCUACUACCUGUGGAGUUUCCUAUCUGUCCGAUCACUCGCUACUAUGCACUUGAUUGAUGAAUCACUGCAGAUAUUUAGCUAUCUUCUGUAUACAGCACAUGGUUGCGGUUAACAUAAUUUGCUGAUGGUGCGGCUGUUCCACUGACACAGUGCCCCCUGUAGGUUAGAACACAAAUUUAUGAUUUGUUCAGGUUGCUGGCGAUCGUUUGUCUACUCUUCGUGAAGUACACCUUGGGAUGUUCAACAUCUAUCAACUAAUGCCAGCAGAUGGAAGGCCCAAUUUAACGUCCAUCCAAUGGAGGGCACACAGUGAUGAAUGGCCCUGCAUGUGAUACAACAGGGUGACAGUUUAUAGCUGGUUCGGGAUUUGAAUCCAGACAAGACAACACGGAGGUGAGUUGGCACACUUAUAGGCCAUCCUUUCAGCCCAGUUAUUGAACUAUAAAUUCACCUUUCUGUCCCUACCCUGGGAUUGGUGUCAUACUGGUUGGAGUGUCCGCUCUGGCUCUGGGAGGUUGAUUGUUCAUACCCUGAGUCAUACCAAAAACCCUUUUUUAAAUGGUACAUGCUGCUUCCUUGCUUGACACUCAUCAUUUAAGAGGAUAGAGCAUGGACAAACAACAUUGGGAAGGCAAUGGCAAACCACCCAGAAACUGCUUCGGCAGCACCAACACUCUGUAAAUAGAGUAUGGCACAUCAAAAUCAAAAUCUGAUUUAUUUGAGUUCAUGCAUUUUGUAUUAAGAGCGGUUUUAUGGACCUGUCUGACUGUCACCAAUUAUAGCUAAGCAAGCAAAAUCACGUUCAUAAGUAGAACAGUCGUUUAGCAUAGGUAGGACAUGCUCUCACUCUGUACCUCCAUAAAGAUUGACUUGUAGCUCCUUCCCCCAGUUUAGUUCAACAUUUACUUUUCUCCUCAACCGCUGGAAGAGGCACACUCCCUUGAGCUGCAAGGCUUCACAAUUUAUCACAACCUGUCUUGAUCAGAUCUCCAAACAGACCUCAAAAUGCUGGUCAAUGCCCUGGAAUUCUCAACAGAACAAAGUUCAUUCCAGAACUAAAAGCUCGUCAUUGUUUCCACACACAUAUGGCUUUCAGACAAAGUAUCAUGGAGUACAGGUCCCCACUCUGAACUGGUGCAGCUGCUUUGGUUUCUCAUCUUGCUCCCAUGGAGGCGGUUUCUCAUCUUGCUCCCCAAUCUUACUCCUCUUGCCCUCUUUGGCCCCUUCAGAUCGCACAUGUUCUUUCAAAUCCCACACCUGGUUACCAUCUCCAAUCCUAAGGUGAUCGCUCACCACCAUUUCCUCAUUCCCGUGCUUUCUCUCCUGUGGAAAACGACACCCUAAGUUUGUUGUGCUAUGGCCCUCCUUCCAAUCACUGUUGAUGACCCUCCACCCCCACCCCACCCCUGCCCUCUUUGCUCUCUGCCACCAAUCCACACAAAUGUUUCCUUUUUCCCAUUUAUUCCUCAGUCUGUGAACUUGCUUGCAUUGUCAUUUGGCUCCUCGUGAGCGAAUAUGUCUAGAUAAAAACGAUUUCAAUGUCAGAAGUGAUUAGGAUGGAAGAAAGCAGGAGUUUUGGGUUGGGUGUGGCAUGAUUAAGGAGGUAUAAGGGAGGAGAGAGGGGGGGCAGAGAGGGAGAUGUGCCCAGAUGCAACAGCACUUCCUGCAUUGGAGCAACAGAAAGUAAAGCAUCAUACUCUGCCCCUCUGCAAGAGUGAACUCUUGUAAUGAUUCAUAACCUUUUUGUGAGACACUCAAAUCGACAAACAAAUGUUUGCAAAUUAUGCACAGCUUUCAUUAAUUUUUUUCUUCAAUCAAUUUUUCAAUUAAACCAAUUCAAUCAGAAGUAAAACCAUGAGUAAGAGAAAUGUAUCAUAGAAAUGCAUCAUUGAUUCUUAUCGUGUUGAAAACCGUGGAACGAUGCCUUUAAAGUUUAAACCAUCUGCAACACCUAAUGUGGAUACUGGAGCAAGCACACCUCUAACACCAUCCCACCUGCACUCUCCACUUCUACCCAUCACUCCUCUGUUCACUCCCAUCUACCGCCUGUCUGGGUUCUUCCCGACAUCUUUGAUAUUUGUUCCUUUCACAUUUCUUUCUACUUUUUUUCACAAUUCUCUUUAUUCAUUCUAAUUCUUGCUUUUUCUUCUCUGUCAUCGCUUUUACUCUUUAUUCCUCUCUAUAGUUAACUAUCUAAGGAGAAGUGAAUUCUUGCAGAAUCCAAAAAGGGGGCUUAUUUUCACCCAAAAAGGCCCAAAAAAGGGGAAUGUAAUUUUCCCCCCAAAAUGCCCGAAAAAGAGGACUUUAUUUAUGUUCAAAAACGCCCAAAAAGGGCACUUAUUUUCACCCAAAAAUGUCCAAAAAAGAGGACUCCAUGUCAUUUUCAUGCUCGCUCAGUCUGGGUUGCUUUUGUCUCGACUGGAAAAAAAUCCGGAAGAAUUCUCAUGUUUAUUUAUUUUUCCACCCAUUUGAAAAAAAAGUAUUAAUUGUACAUUUGUACAUUUUUACAUUUUUGUACAUUUUAAAAUGUACAUUAAAAAAACUGUAUUCAUUAUGUGACACUGCUUUCUUUCCUUGCGAUGGAGUAUCCCCUUUGCACUGUGUUUAUCACCGCUCACAAGUUGAUAUCUUUUGUUGGUAAAGUGAGACCCCACCUAUGGAGGGAAUGGGAUAGCAGCGUGAGGGUAGGGGAAAGCAGCAUAAGGGCAAUGGAAGGAAGUGUGAGGGGAGGGAGUGCAGUGUAAGGGGAGGGUUGGCGGCAUACCAGAGCAUUAUCGGGGUGACAAAACACACCCAAACAGCAAUGUGUUCUUUUUAACUGCCAUGUUCGAUAUAAAACCGGGAGGAAGCAUAUAAAAAUUGCAACCAAUGCUAUCUACCUGGCAAAGGCCUGCCGCAUACAUGCCCCUCUCCCCAUUACAUGUUCCAACAACCUCCUUUUGGUCCAUGCUAACUGUGCACAUGCACUGGUGAUAUACUCAUCUUUACCCUUGCACACAUGCAUGGAUUUUCCCACACCCACACUGCACAGGAGAACGUCCCGCUUGGCUUCAGCACUGCAGCACGUCUGCUCCCCAUGUGCAGAAUCACAUGGUUCACGCCACAGCCGCAUAACCUCCACAGCACCACGCUUCAUCGGCCCAGGUGCAAGUUUGAGUUUGAGUUCAGAUCGCGUGCCUGUGAAACCUUCGCACCGCACACACAUUAACAAGUAUGCAGGCAUGUACACACCCGAUAGAGAGUCAUUUCUACGCAUUUCUACCACGUCCGUUUGUGCUGUGUCCAUACAUCCUCGCUUGCAGAAACUACUGCUAUUAAUAUAUUGUGGCAACUAUUAGUAUUGUUGCGGAAAUGGCCCUUAUUGUGUGAUUAAAUAUAGGAUUCGCCCAGAUCCCCCAUUGAAUGCAUGUUUAGCCAAGUUGUUAGGUAAAUUGACAUUACAUGUGUGUCGGGAGGUAUAAGAGGCUGUUUAUUCUUCGUACAGUGGUGGUGGACUGAGAGGUUCUUCUUAUUUCCCCUCUCCAGACGAGGUCCCGCCCAGUCAGCUGAGAGGGUGUGGCCUGAAGAAGUGAGCGCCGGAAAGGCGAAGGUGGGACUGAGAGGUGGUGCGAUCGGCAGUAAGAGGAACUGCCUGAGCCACGAUACGGGCGAUCGGCAGUAAGAGUGACUGCCUGCUUUGUCGAGUCUGCCUUCUGCUGGAUGAGAGGCUGCUGGAGUCGAGUCUGGAGUCGGCUUUGAGGCGAGCGAGCGCCGGAUCGGCAGUAAGAGGAACUGCCUGAGCCACGAGAAGCGGCGCGCCCAAAAAGAAAGGAGAAGUGAAACUGCAGUCGGCUGAGAGGCGACAGGGAGACUGAGACUGGCCGAGUCUGCCAUUUGGCAGUGGGAGAGGCCGCCUGCACGUCGGGUCGGGCGAUCGACUUUGUGGAGGAGUGGUUUUGGCCGGCGGUGCCUCCUCGGCCACAGACCCAACCUGCAGAGCCCAACACCUCGAUUUGGCCUGAUCUGUUGAACAGGCCAGGCCUGGACUUGUAUGCUGGACCUUGUGAAAAGCCAGCUGGAGCAUACCACAGAUCUUUCGUCUUUGGCCGUCGACCUUACGCGGGGUCUGAACGCGCCGUGGCUGCGUGCGUGAGGGCUGCGACAAAUGGACACGCCGCCAUUUUGCCACGCGGCGUGUUUGAGCUUGGGUGCUCGAAUCCGUGGACAUCGGCUUGUCACGAGCCACAUUCCUGCUUUUCACACUUUUCCUCUCGUCUAUGAAGCAUCACCAAGUACUCUGUGUCUUGUCUACAUGCUGUCCAUGUCUUGUCUGCAUGUUGUUUAAGGUUUAUCUCGUUAGGGUCCCCUUCGAAACCCAUAAUCCAUAGCUCCCCAGUUAAGAACGGGUUAUAGAUUAAUUAUAACAUUGUCGUGAAUGCUUUGCUUGUGUCAUGUUCCCCGAUGUGUCCCCAAUGUUCUCCUGAAACAACUUGCCUUUGCCUCAUGGAAAGCAAACCCAACUGGGG